UUGGUGCAUAUUAGAUGCUUAUGGUAUAUUUUGGAUAUGUUGCUUUGUUGUGCUAUCCAUAAAGAUAGCAUUAUUCAGAUAUGACUAUAUAAAAAUGAAGGAUCUAGUUUAACUAAAUACUAUAGUUUGUUGUGCUAUCCAUAAGGCUAUGAGUAUAUCAGAGGUGAGAUGAUGUUGAGAGUUGCAUAAGAUGCAUUUGGGUAGAUUUUUUAUCUUUGAACUCGUAGGAGUUUAUUCUACUAUCCACAUGGUUUCUUUGAGGAA
RNAcentral lists this long non-coding RNA (264 nucleotides) under Elaeis guineensis (African oil palm). Its description in RNAcentral is "long non-coding RNA (EGUI_LNC009392)". Lineage: Eukaryota; Viridiplantae; Streptophyta; Magnoliopsida; Arecales; Arecaceae. The record is from RNAcentral.